GCCCAGUGCAGUGGUGUGUGCCUGUAGUCCCAGCUACUCGGGAGGCUGAGGCAGGAAGAUCACUUGAGCUCAGGAGUUCUGGGCUAUAGUGCGCUAUGUGAUGGGGGGUCCGCACUAAGUUCAGCAUCAUUAUGGUGACCUUCCCGGAGCGGGGGACCAUUAGAUUACCUAAGGAGUGGUGAAUCGGCCCAGGUCAAAAACUGAACAGGUCAUAACUCCCGUGCUGAUCAGUAGUGGGAUCGCGCCAAUGAAGAGCCACUGCACUCCAGACUGGGCAACAUAGCGAGACCCCAUCUCU
Neogale vison (American mink) is the source of this 298-nucleotide unclassified non-coding RNA. It matches the Rfam family "Metazoan signal recognition particle RNA". Rfam says of the family: The signal recognition particle (SRP) is a universally conserved ribonucleoprotein. It is involved in the co-translational targeting of proteins to membranes. The record is from Ensembl. NCBI's taxonomy places the organism in Eukaryota, Metazoa, Chordata, Mammalia, Carnivora, Mustelidae.